Methanosarcina sp. MTP4 is the source of this 51-nucleotide regulatory RNA element. It matches the Rfam family "eL15-Euryarchaeota ribosomal protein leader". Lineage: Archaea; Methanobacteriati; Methanobacteriota; Methanomicrobia; Methanosarcinales; Methanosarcinaceae. The record is from Rfam.
CGGGAUUAGCUCCCGUAGGAAUGUGGCUCGAGACCCGGGCUGAACCGUGAA